CCCUUAGAUGUUCUGGGCCGCACGCGCGCUACAAUGAUGCAGGCAACGAGUGCCGCUCCUUCGCCGAAAGGCUUGGGGAAUCUUGAAAACUGCAUCGUGCUAGGGAUAGAUGAUUGCAAUCGUGCAUCUUGAACGAGGAAUGCCUUGUAAGCGUGAGUCAUCAACUCGCGCUGAAUACGUCCCUGCCCUUUGUACACACCGCCCGUCGCUCCUACCGAUUGGAUGGUCCGGUGAACUGGUCGGACUGCUGUUUGAAAUUGCGGGUGCAGUUGAUUCACGGGAAGUCUAGUAAACCUUAUCAUCUAGAGGAAGGAGAAGUCGUAACA
RNAcentral lists this ribosomal RNA (326 nucleotides) under uncultured eukaryote. RNAcentral describes it as "partial 18S ribosomal RNA". It matches the Rfam family "Eukaryotic small subunit ribosomal RNA", at positions 1470 to 1796 of the family's 1831-position model. The record is from RNAcentral.